UUAGUAAAUAAGAAUUAAAAAAAAAAAAAAAUCUUUCAAGGCUCAACUCUAAAACCACGCCCAUGCUUGCCUAGGAGGGCCGGAACUCGAAGCUCACUGACUUUGUUCAAAAUCAGGCUUGAUUUGAGCCAACUUCUCGAGAGAGAGUGAGAGGAGAUGACGAUAGAAGAGGCAGCAGGCCCCGCCGGACCAAAGGUUCUCCGAUUGCUGUAUUUCGUCGGCGCCGGAUUUAUAUGCACUGUGGCCAUCAACAAGUGGAGAGAAGUUGAAAGGAAAUCCAUUCAGAAACAGCACCAACAACAAUCCCACCUCCCUCCAAAUUUGUUGCCCCAAAGCUCUCCAAAUGCCGUUCAAAAACCCACCAAGUGAUCUCUCAGCUACAGGAAUUAAAAACAUGCUUGGAUUGCAGGCUUGAGCCCCCAAAUGUCAAUCCUAAGAGAGAAAUGCAGAACUAACUUAUCAGAAAUUGAAGUGGUAUUAAACAUAGAUAUAUGCAUGGGAGAUAAAAAUAAUGUUGAAUCAAACAUCACUGUAAAGUUGAAGCAAAAGCCUAACCUAACCACUAUUCUUCCUAGAAAGUGCAAUAAGGUAUUUGAACAGGGAAUUAUAGGCUUUAUUGUCUUCUUGAGUCUGUCCUUUUAUAAUGUACAAUAACAUUUCUACUGCAAGACAGGAAAAGUUCAAUUUUUAUUGUAUAAAAAGUUAUUAUUUGGGAGUUUUGGGUUGAUUUCAAUCUCCCAAUACAGAAAAUUUCCAUAGAAAUUGCCUACCGACAUUUACGAUUU
RNA transcript from Hevea brasiliensis (rubber tree), 785 nucleotides. RefSeq lists it as uncharacterized. The transcript has 4 exons. The record is from RefSeq and is a predicted model, not a curated record. Lineage: Eukaryota; Viridiplantae; Streptophyta; Magnoliopsida; Malpighiales; Euphorbiaceae.